This 292-nucleotide ribosomal RNA is filed under the name uncultured bacterium. RNAcentral describes it as "partial 16S ribosomal RNA". It matches the Rfam family "Bacterial small subunit ribosomal RNA", at positions 505 to 796 of the family's 1533-position model. The record is from RNAcentral.
GUGUCAGCAGCCGCGGUAAUACGAACUGUGCAAACGUUAUUCGGAAUCACUGGGCUUAAAGGGUGCGUAGGCGGCCAUUUAAGUAGGGUGUGAAAGCCCCCGGCUCAACCGGGGAAUUGCGUCCUAAACUGGAUGGCUCGAGUGAGAUAGAGGUGUGUGGAACUUCCGGUGGAGCGGUGAAAUGUGUUGAUAUCGGAAGGAACGCCGGUGGCGAAAGCGACACACUGGGUCUCAACUGACGCUGAGGCACGAAAGCCAGGGGAGCGAACGGGAUUAGAUACCCCGGUAGUCC